Cinara cedri is the source of this 1060-nucleotide non-coding RNA. The record is from the annotation of a GenBank genome assembly. Lineage: Eukaryota; Metazoa; Arthropoda; Insecta; Hemiptera; Aphididae.
AACAAGAACAAAAUUGAAUGAACGCAUGUUUCACGAUCUGGAUCGAUUCAUUCACAAGUGCGACCCAUUAGUUUGUGAAUGAUACCUCUAAUUUUUUUUUGUAAUUAUAAAUAAAAUGUAAUGGCUAGUCAAAAUAUUUCUACUCAUUAUUUAAUAUGAAAAAAUUAUAAAUAAAAUGUAUAAGGCUCACAACAACUUCUGCUUACAUAAUGUGGUCAUAUCACAAAAGGUUGGAAACCCCUAACUUAGAGGGUGGGUUAUUACUUUUUCUUGCAGUAAAAUGGUGUGCGAAUAGUAAUGAUAUGUAAUGUAAUUUAUCUAUUCAAUAAUUAAUAGGGACAACACUCGUCAAAUUGAUGAAAUAGUUACACAAAAACUGUCCAAGUUAACAUAACUUACGUGGUCAUUCAUAUCGUCCAAAGAAUUGUUGUUAGUGUUUGAUGUCCCGGAUGUGCUGGGGCCGGUUUCUUCGUUAAAAUCGCUCAUCCUGUUUUAUCUGGUUCUCAAAUGGUAUUUUUUCUACCAACCGGUGUGAUCAAAGUAAUAACAAAAAAAUCGUCUCACCGCCAGUCAAAUAAUUGGGUUUUCGAAAGAAACCACACGAAUUUGAUAAAUUACAAACGGUUAAACAGUAAUAUUUUCCAUACAAUAACUGUUGUACCUACACGAAUGAAUAUGCCAGAGAGUUUAUCACAGGAGAACGAACAUUUUUUUAAUUUGAGGUUACAAGGAAUUUUAUCAAUAAAGUUGUAAACUUGAUUAAAAAUAAUCAAUAGUUUAUAACUCAUUUUACUAUUACUUAGUAUAUUAAUUAGUGUUAUCUAGUUAGUUAAACUUAAUGUGCUUAAUUUAGUGUUAUAAUCAUAACUUGUUGUGUAUUAAUAUUUUGACAACAUUCAAAUUGCAUUAUAAUUAAUAAUUAUGUACCAAAAUAAUACCAUUGAUAAUCAAUCAUAAUACGUUAUUAGAAAAAAAAUAUACAUAAAUUACAAUUCUGAUUUAUGAAAAUUUAGUAUAGUAAUAGUAGAUACUCAAUUGAAUUUAUUCAUGUCUGAAAUGG